CGGACCAAAGCAGGGGCUCUUCGGACCUUGCACUAUCGGAUGAACCCAUAUGGGAUUAGCUAGUAGGUGGGGUAAAGGCUCACCUAGGCGACGAUCUCUAGCUGGUCUGAGAGGAUGAUCAGCCACACUGGGACUGAGACACGGCCCAGACUCCUACGGGAGGCAGCAGUGGGGAAUAUUGCACAAUGGGCGCAAGCCUGAUGCAGCCAUGCCGCGUGUAUGAAGAAGGCCUUAGGGUUGUAAAGUACUUUCAGCGGGG
RNAcentral lists this ribosomal RNA (259 nucleotides) under Proteus mirabilis. RNAcentral describes it as "partial 16S ribosomal RNA". It matches the Rfam family "Bacterial small subunit ribosomal RNA", at positions 197 to 444 of the family's 1533-position model. The record is from RNAcentral. Lineage: Bacteria; Pseudomonadati; Pseudomonadota; Gammaproteobacteria; Enterobacterales; Morganellaceae.